UACGUAGGGUCCGAGCGUUAAUCGGAAUUACUGGGCGUAAAGCGUGCGCAGGCGGUUCGCAAAGACAGGUGUGAAAUCCCCCGGGCUUAACCUGGGAACUGCGCUUGUAACUAGCGGGCUAGAGUGCGGCAGAGGGGGGUGGAAUUCCACGUGUAGCAGUGAAAUGCGUAGAUAUGUGGAGGAAUACCGAUGGCGAAGGCAGCCCCCUGGGAUCAACACUAGACGU
Molecule: ribosomal RNA, 226 nt
Filed under: uncultured bacterium
Lineage: Bacteria
Description: partial 16S ribosomal RNA
Rfam family: Bacterial small subunit ribosomal RNA
Source: RNAcentral